Molecule: long non-coding RNA, 206 nt
Filed under: Elaeis guineensis (African oil palm)
Lineage: Eukaryota; Viridiplantae; Streptophyta; Magnoliopsida; Arecales; Arecaceae
Description: long non-coding RNA (EGUI_LNC039323)
Source: RNAcentral
CCUUUUUUGAAUAUAUUUUCUCUAUUCCUUCCUUUUGAUGGGAUCAAUUUUACAUUUUUAGCUUCCUUCUUUAUUGCUUAUUGUUUUACUCCCCCUCAAUAUAGCAAUCAUAAAAAAAAAAUAUAUCAAUUUGCUUAUUAAAAAGAUAUUGCUAUUCAAGUAUUUCAGAAUUUAAAAGUAACUCCAUUCGAUCAGAGAUAUUCAUU